AGAGUUUGAUCAUGGCUCAGAUUGAACGCUGGCGGCAGGCCUAACACAUGCAAGUCGAGCGGAUGAAGAGAGCUUGCUCUCUGAUUCAGCGGCGGACGGGUGAGUAAUGCCUAGGAAUCUGCCUAGUAGUGGGGGACAACGUUUCGAAAGGAACGCUAAUACCGCAUACGUCCUACGGGAGAAAGUGGGGGAUCUUCGGACCUCACGCUAUUAGAUGAGCCUAGGUCGGAUUAGCUAGUUGGUAGGGUAACGGCCUACCAAGGCGACGAUCCGUAACUGGUCUGAGAGGAUGAUCAGUCACACUGGAACUGAGACACGGUCCAGACUCCUACGGGAGGCAGCAGUGGGGAAUAUUGGACAAUGGGCGAAAGCCUGAUCCAGCCAUGCCGCGUGUGUGAAGAAGGCCUUCGGGUCGUAAAGCACUUUAAGUUGGGAGGAAGGGCUCAUAGCGAAUACCUGUGAGUUUUGACGUUACCAACAGAAUAAGCACCGGCUAACUUCGUGCCAGCAGCCGCGGUAAUACGAAGGGUGCAAGCGUUAAUCGGAAUUACUGGGCGUAAAGCGCGCGUAGGUGGCUUGAUAAGUUGGAUGUGAAAUCCCCGGGCUCAACCUGGGAACUGCAUCCAAAACUGUCUGGCUGAGUGUGGUAGAGGGUAGUGGAAAUUUCCAGUGUAGCGGUGAAAUGCGUAGAUAUUGGAAGGAACACCAGUGGCGAAGGCGACUACCUGGACUAACACUGACACUGAGUGCGAAAGCGUGGGGAGCAAACAGGAUUAGAUACCCUGGUAGUCCACGCCGUAAACGAUGUCAACUAGCCGUUGGGAUCCUUGAGAU
This 834-nucleotide ribosomal RNA is filed under the name Pseudomonas sp. RNAcentral's name for it is "bacterial SSU rRNA". It matches the Rfam family "Bacterial small subunit ribosomal RNA", at positions 8 to 838 of the family's 1533-position model. Lineage: Bacteria; Pseudomonadati; Pseudomonadota; Gammaproteobacteria; Pseudomonadales; Pseudomonadaceae. The record is from RNAcentral.